This 257-nucleotide ribosomal RNA is filed under the name uncultured bacterium. RNAcentral's name for it is "partial 16S ribosomal RNA". It matches the Rfam family "Bacterial small subunit ribosomal RNA", at positions 524 to 776 of the family's 1533-position model. The record is from RNAcentral.
UACGGGGGGGGGCAAGCGUUUGUUCGGAAUUACUGGGCGUAAAGGGCUCGUAGGCGGCCAAACUAAGUCAGACGUGAAAUCCCUCGGCUUUAACCGGGGAACUGCGUCUGAUACUGGUUGGCUUGAGUGUGGGAGAGGGAUGCGGAAUUCCAGGUGUAGCGGUGAAAUGCGUAGAUAUCUGGAGGAACACCGGUGGCGAAGGCGGCAUCCUGGACCAUUACUGACGCUGAGGAGCGAAAGCCAGGGGAGCAAACGGG